This 432-nucleotide ribosomal RNA is filed under the name uncultured bacterium. Its description in RNAcentral is "partial 16S ribosomal RNA". It matches the Rfam family "Bacterial small subunit ribosomal RNA", at positions 29 to 507 of the family's 1533-position model. The record is from RNAcentral.
AACGAACGCUGGCGGCAUGCCUAACACAUGCAAGUCGAACGAGACCUUCGGGUCUAGUGGCGCACGGGUGCGUAACGCGUGGGAACCUGCCCUUAGGUUUGGAAUAACUCCCGAAAGGGGUGCUAAUACCGGAUAAUGUCUUCGGACCAAAGAUUUAUCGCCUUUGGAUGGGCCCGCGUUGGAUUAGCUAGUUGGUAGGGUAAAAGCCUACCAAGGCGACGAUCCAUAGCUGGUCUGAGAGGAUGAUCAGCCACACUGGGACUGAGACACGGCCCAGACUCCUACGGGAGGCAGCAGUGGGGAAUAUUGGACAAUGGGCGAAAGCCUGAUCCAGCAAUGCCGCGUGAGUGAUGAAGGCCUUAGGGUUGUAAAGCUCUUUUACCCGGGAUGAUAAUGACAGUACCGGGAGAAUAAGCUCCGGCUAACUCCGUG